AUUACUGCUAAUUUAUUGCUGUCAAUCUAUCUACUACUGUCAAUCUAUCUAUUGCUGCUAAUCUAUCACUGCUAAUCUACUGCUGUUAAUCUAUCUACCGCUGUCAAUCUAUCUAUUGCUGCUAAUCUAUUGCUGCUAAUCUAUCACUGCUAAUCUAUUGCUGCUAAUCUAUCGCUGCUAAUUUAUCACUGCUAAUCUAUUGCUGCUAAUCUAUCACUAUCAAUCUAUCUACUGCUGUCAAUCUAUCUACUACUGCUAAUCUAUCUAUCACUGCC
Molecule: small RNA, 275 nt
Filed under: Histoplasma capsulatum
Lineage: Eukaryota; Fungi; Ascomycota; Eurotiomycetes; Onygenales; Ajellomycetaceae
Also listed under: 1 other name
Description: hypothetical RNA
Source: RNAcentral